GAUGAACGCUGGCGGCGUGCCUAAUACAUGCAAGUCGAGCGAACAGACGAGGAGCUUGCUCCUCUGACGUUAGCGGCGGACGGGUGAGUAACACGUGGAUAACCUACCUAUAAGACUGGGAUAACUUCGGGAAACCGGAGCUAAUACCGGAUAAUAUAUUGAACCGCAUGGUUCAAUAGUGAAAGACGGUUUUGCUGUCACUUAUAGAUGGAUCCGCGCCGCAUUAGCUAGUUGGUAAGGUAACGGCUUACCAAGGCAACGAUGCGUAGCCGACCUGAGAGGGUGAUCGGCCACACAGGAACUGAGACACGGUCCAGACUCCUACGGGAGGCAGCAGUAGGGAAUCUUCCGCAAUGGGCGAAAGCCUGACGGAGCAACGCCGCGUGAGUGAUGAGGGUCUUCGGAUCGUAAAACUCUGUUAUUAGGGAAGAACAAAUGUGUAAGUAACUAUGCACGUCUUGACGGUACCUAAUCAGAAAGCCACGGCUAACUACGUG
RNAcentral lists this ribosomal RNA (497 nucleotides) under uncultured bacterium. RNAcentral's name for it is "partial 16S ribosomal RNA". It matches the Rfam family "Bacterial small subunit ribosomal RNA", at positions 28 to 507 of the family's 1533-position model. The record is from RNAcentral.